GACAAGUUAAACCUAUGCGUGGAGGGAAGACCCCUGUAAUAAUCGGGGUGAGCGGUGUAAAUCCGCCACGGUCCCGCCACUGUAAUAAGGAAGGCAAUGCCGCCGUUUUAAAGUCACUGUCCACAUUUAUUUAAUGGAUGGGAAGGCAAGGCGAAAUUGCCCAUGUGCUUCAAGCACGACCUUUAAGUCAGGAUACCCUACGCAACGGUUCUUAAAAA
RNAcentral lists this non-coding RNA (218 nucleotides) under Deltaproteobacteria bacterium. The record is from RNAcentral. Lineage: Bacteria; Pseudomonadati; Myxococcota; Myxococcia.